This 896-nucleotide ribosomal RNA is filed under the name Salmonella enterica. RNAcentral describes it as "partial 23S ribosomal RNA". It matches the Rfam family "Bacterial large subunit ribosomal RNA", at positions 711 to 1605 of the family's 2925-position model. Lineage: Bacteria; Pseudomonadati; Pseudomonadota; Gammaproteobacteria; Enterobacterales; Enterobacteriaceae. The record is from RNAcentral.
AGACCCGAAACCCGGUGAUCUAGCCAUGGGCAGGUUGAAGGUUGGGUAACACUAACUGGAGGACCGAACCGACUAAUGUUGAAAAAUUAGCGGAUGACCUGUGGCUGGGGGUGAAAGGCCAAUCAAACCGGGAGAUAGCUGGUUCUCCCCGAAAGCUAUUUAGGUAGCGCCUCGUGAAUUCAUCUCCGGGGGUAGAGCACUGUUUCGGCCAGGGGGCCAUCCCGGCUUACCAAUCCGAUGCAAACUGCGAAUACCGGAGAAUGUUAUCACGGGAGACACACGGCGGGUGCUAACGUCCGUCGUGAAGAGGGAAACAACCCAGACCGCCAGCUAAGGUCCCAAAGUCAUGGUUAAGUGGGAAACGAUGUGGGAAGGCCCAGACAGCCAGGAUGUUGGCUUAGAAGCAGCCAUCAUUUAAAGAAAGCGUAAUAGCUCACUGGUCGAGUCGGCCUGCGCGGAAGAUGUAACGGGGCUAAACCAUGCACCGAAGCUGCGGCAGCGACACUGAUGUGUUGUUGGGUAGGGGAGCGUUCUGUAAGCCGUUGAAGGUGGCCUGUGAGGGUUGCUGGAGGUAUCAGAAGUGCGAAUGCUGACAUAAGUAACGAUAAAGCGGGUGAAAAGCCCGCUCGCCGGAAGACCAAGGGUUCCUGUCCAACGUUAAUCGGGGCAGGGUGAGUCGACCCCUAAGGCGAGGCCGAAAGGCGUAGUCGAUGGGAAACGGGUUAAUAUUCCCGUACUUGGUGUUACUGCGAAGGGGGGACGGAGAAGGCUAUGUUGGCCGGGCGACGGUUGUCCCGGUUUAAGCGUGUAGGUGUGUGUUCCAGGUAAAUCCGGUUCACUUUAACACUGAGGCGUGACGACGAGGCACCACGGUGCUGAAGCAACAAAUGCCCUGC